GUCUAUGGCCAUGCCACCGUGAACAAGCCCGGUCCCGUCCGAUCUCGGAGGCUAAGCAGGGUCGGGCCUGGUUAGGACUUGGAUGGGAGACCACCUAGGAAGACCAGGUGCUGUAGGUG
RNAcentral lists this ribosomal RNA (119 nucleotides) under Pteropus alecto (black flying fox). Lineage: Eukaryota; Metazoa; Chordata; Mammalia; Chiroptera; Pteropodidae. The record is from RNAcentral.